UCCGUAGGUAACCUGCGGAGGGAUCAUUAUCGAGUUUAUCCAACUCCCAACCCUAUGUGAACCUACCUUUAUGUUGCUUCGGCGGUCUCGCGCCGGGUUGCUCCCCUGGGGGCUCCCGGGACCACGCGUCCGCCGGAGACCACAAACUCUUGAUUUUGCGAAAGCAGUAUUAUUCUGAGUGGCCGAAAGGCAAAAAACAAAUGAAUCAAAACUUUCAACAACGGAUCUCUUGGUUCUGGCAUCGAUGAAGAACGCAGCGAAAUGCGAUAAGUAAUGUGAAUUGCAGAAUUCAGUGAAUCAUCGAAUCUUUGAACGCACAUUGCGCCCGCCAGCAUUCUGGCGGGCAUGCCUGUUCGAGCGUCAUUUCAACCCUCGAGCUCGUCUUCAUUGACGGGAUCGGUGUUGGGACCCGGCGAGCGGGGACUUUUGUCCUCUGCCGGCCCCGAAAUUCAGUGGCGGCCCGUUGCGGCGACCUCUGCGUAGUAACUCAACCUCGCACCGGUAACAGCAUCGUGGCCACGCCGUAAAACCCCCGACUUUUAUAAGGUUGACCUCGAAUCAGGUAGGACUACCCGCUGAACUUAAGCAUAUCAAUAAGCGGAGGA
Molecule: ribosomal RNA, 605 nt
Filed under: Acremonium sp. HS-4-S1-1
Lineage: Eukaryota; Fungi; Ascomycota; Sordariomycetes; Hypocreales; Bionectriaceae
Description: eukaryotic LSU rRNA
Rfam family: 5.8S ribosomal RNA (bases 210-363)
Source: RNAcentral